This 450-nucleotide ribosomal RNA is filed under the name uncultured bacterium. RNAcentral describes it as "partial 16S ribosomal RNA". It matches the Rfam family "Bacterial small subunit ribosomal RNA", at positions 354 to 796 of the family's 1533-position model. The record is from RNAcentral.
GUGGGGAAUAUUGGACAAUGGGCGAAAGCCUGAUCCAGCCAUGCCGCGUGUGUGAAGAAGGUCUUCGGAUUGUAAAGCACUUUAAGUUGGGAGGAAGGGUAGUAACCUAAUACGUUGCUACUUUGACGUUACCGACAGAAUAAGCACCGGCUAACUUCGUGCCAGCAGCCGCGGUAAUACGAAGGGUGCAAGCGUUAAUCGGAAUUACUGGGCGUAAAGCGCGCGUAGGUGGUUCAGUAAGUUGGAAGUGAAAUCCCCGGGCUGAACCUGGGAACUGCUGUCACAACUGCUGAGCUAGAGUACGGUAGAGGGUGGUGGAAUUUCCUGUGUAGCGGUGAAAUGCGUAGAUAUAGGAAGGAACACCAGUGGCGAAGGCGACCACCUGGACUGAUACUGACACUGAGGUGCGAAAGCGUGGGGAGCAAACAGGAUUAGAAACCCGUGUAGUCC